ACCAUGCAUCAGAAGCAGGAUCAUCUGCCCUGGACUGUGGUUGACCAUGAGUAAAUGAAGCAGUGGAAAGUGAAAGGCAGAUGAUGGGGAACUACAGUGUCCUCAAGUGGAUUCUGAGCCCAAUUCUGGUGUAUGACUGUAUAUCUGGAUCUGUACAGACACUCAUACACACAUAUUCCUGAAAGUUUUUGGUGGGAUUGAAUCUCCUGAGAACCAGCCUCCUUACAGUUCAACACUUCCAUCACCCCAAGGGUCCACGUGGAGACAACUGAGCAGGGAAUCUGACAGUCAUCUUGCCCAGGACUCCUGUUUUCUCCAACAGCCAUUCAUCCGCAGCCUCGACCAAUUUCUAGGGGCUAUACUGAUCCCAGUGAAAGUAACUUCCAGUCUUUAGAAGAAGUAUUGUGAAGUGAUUACCUGAGAGUGAAGGGGAACCAAGGGAAACCAUGCAUACACCCAGCUGCCCGGGGAUUCAGAUACUCUGCAGCUCAGCAGGCACUGACCGUCAUGCUGCUCUGGCCCCAGCCAGGGGGUCACGACUCUACUGAAUGAGGAAUCCCAGGCAAGAAUUAUCAGAAGCACUUGGAGAGCUUGGUAAAACGCUGACUUCAGAGCUCUGUCCUGGACCCAGUAAGUCAUGGCAGACUGCAUCUUUCAAUAGCUUCAAAGGCUAAUUAUGCACUAUUCCAGUAAAAGAUCCAGGACUUCUCCAGGCUCUGCCUCCACGCCAUAAAUAAGAGCAUCAAUAGGUAUAAGGAGAAGUCAGCAAUCUGCAACCCAGAAGAGGACCUUCAACAGAACCUGACAAAACUGGCCCCCUGAUCUUGGACUUUCAGCCUCCAGAACGGUGAAAUGUCACAUUGAGUUGGAUGAUCACCUGAUCACUGUCUUUCUUCCUCACCGAGUCACAAGGCCUGUGAGGGCAGCCUCAGAGCUGGGUUUGAUCACCCUUGUAUCCUCCAGCACAUAGUAGUAAAAGCGACCACAGUAUCGACUUUCAACUCAAAAUGAUAUUAUUAACUGCAUAGCCAUGGUGGCAUGGUUGACCGUGAUGCCUCUUUCAUCUCUAUGGGAUGUUUUCUGUUCAGGAGUUCAGCAAAGCUAUGAAUAAUACAGAUGGCAUGUGCUCUUUCUACAGUUGCUUGCAAUUGUUUAUCUGUUCCCACCACAACCUUGCAAUUCCUUUCUCAAAGAUCACAAAUGACCCUUUGCUCACCAGAAUUAAUGGCCUCUUCUCAGCUGUCAUGUUCCUGGAACUUGUGAACCAUUUGAUAUCCCUCAUCACUCUCUCUGUGAAGUUCUUUACUGCCUGGGCUUCUUUGUCUUUGGAUA
Suricata suricatta (meerkat) is the source of this 1332-nucleotide long non-coding RNA. RefSeq lists it as uncharacterized. NCBI's taxonomy places the organism in Eukaryota, Metazoa, Chordata, Mammalia, Carnivora, Herpestidae. The record is from RefSeq and is a predicted model, not a curated record. The transcript is spliced from 12 exons.